RNAcentral lists this transfer RNA (77 nucleotides) under Pseudomonadota bacterium. RNAcentral describes it as "tRNA-Arg". It matches the Rfam family "tRNA". From Rfam's summary of the family: Transfer RNA (tRNA) molecules are approximately 80 nucleotides in length. Their secondary structure includes four short double-helical elements and three loops (D, anti-codon, and T loops). Further hydrogen bonds mediate the characteristic L-shaped molecular structure. tRNAs have two regions of fundamental functional importance: the anti-codon, which is responsible for specific mRNA codon recognition, and the 3' end, to which the tRNAs corresponding amino acid is attached (by aminoacyl-tRNA synthetases). tRNAs cope with the degeneracy of the genetic code in two manners: having more than one tRNA (with a specific anti-codon) for a particular amino acid; and 'wobble' base-pairing, i.e. permitting non-standard base-pairing at the 3rd anti-codon position. RNAcentral also lists the same sequence under 2 other names. Lineage: Bacteria; Pseudomonadati; Pseudomonadota. The record is from RNAcentral.
GCGCCCGUAGCUCAGUUGGAUAGAGCGUUUGACUACGAAUCAAAAGGUCGCGUGUUCGAGUCACGCCGGGCGCACCA